ACGUAGGUGGCGAGCGUUAUCCGGAAUGAUUGGGCGUAAAGGGUGCGUAGGUGGCAGAUCAAGUCUGGAGUAAAAGGUAUGGGCUCAACCCGUACUGGCUCUGGAAACUGAUCAGCUAGAGAACAGAAGAGGACGGCGGAACUCCAUGUGUAGUGGUAAAAUGCGUAGAUAUAUGGAAGAACACCGGUGGCGAAGGCGGCCGUCUGGUCUGGAUUCUGACACUGAAGCACGAAAGCGUGGGGAGCAAAUAG
RNAcentral lists this ribosomal RNA (251 nucleotides) under uncultured bacterium. RNAcentral describes it as "partial 16S ribosomal RNA". It matches the Rfam family "Bacterial small subunit ribosomal RNA", at positions 525 to 775 of the family's 1533-position model. The record is from RNAcentral.